RNAcentral lists this ribosomal RNA (232 nucleotides) under uncultured bacterium. Its description in RNAcentral is "partial 16S ribosomal RNA". It matches the Rfam family "Bacterial small subunit ribosomal RNA", at positions 99 to 334 of the family's 1533-position model. The record is from RNAcentral.
CGAACGGGUGAGUAAUACAUCGGAACGUGCCCAUUAGUGGGGGAUAACCCGGCGAAAGCCGGACUAAUACCGCAUACGACCUACGGGUGAAAGCAGGGGAUCGCAAGACCUUGCGCUAUUGGAGCGGCCGAUGUCAGAUUAGCUAGUUGGUGGGGUAAAAGCCUACCAAGGCGACGAUCUGUAGCUGGUCUGAGAGGACGACCAGCCACACUGGGACUGAGACACGGCCCAG